This 234-nucleotide unclassified non-coding RNA is filed under the name Hevea brasiliensis (rubber tree). The record is from RNAcentral. Lineage: Eukaryota; Viridiplantae; Streptophyta; Magnoliopsida; Malpighiales; Euphorbiaceae.
GGGAUAUUCGUUUCUUCUGUUUUCUCUUUGAUGGCUCUGGUCUUGAAGCGUUUAAAACUUGAUUUGGGGGGUCGAAUGGAACCAAUAUAGUAAUUGUUGAUGCUUCUCCUACUGAUAAGGGAAGUAGCAGAAAACAGAGGAGAGACUUGCACAGCUAUGGCCAUUGCUAUUAUUAAGCUCCAGCCAGCCAAACAAAAGAAAAAACAGUUCUCUAUCUAUCUAUCUCCAACUCAC